UACGUAGGGGGCAAGCGUUGUCCGGAUUCAUUGGGCGUAAAGGGCGCGUAGGCGGCGGGGUAAGUCGGGUGUGAAAUCUCAGAGCUCAACUCUGAAACUGCACUCGAUACUGCUCUGCUUGAGGACUGGAGAGGAGACUGGAAUUCACGGUGUAGCAGUGAAAUGCGUAGAUAUCGUGAGGAAGACCAGUGGCGAAGGCGGGUCUCUGGACAGUUCCUGACGCUGAGGCGCGAAGGCCAGGGGAGCAAACGGG
This 253-nucleotide ribosomal RNA is filed under the name uncultured bacterium. Its description in RNAcentral is "partial 16S ribosomal RNA". It matches the Rfam family "Bacterial small subunit ribosomal RNA", at positions 524 to 776 of the family's 1533-position model. The record is from RNAcentral.